AGGCUUGAAGAUGAAGAGCUCGUUUCCUACAUCCUCACUGGAUUGGAACAAGAUUUCAAUCCGGUGGUGUCCGCUGUUGCUGCUAGGGUUGAACCCAUGUCUGUUGGGGAACUCUAUACCCAACUCGUCAGCUUUGAGC
RNAcentral lists this small nucleolar RNA (139 nucleotides) under Leersia perrieri. RNAcentral describes it as "snoRNA snoZ247". It matches the Rfam family "Small nucleolar RNA Z247". Rfam says of the family: Z247 is a member of the C/D class of snoRNA which contain the C (UGAUGA) and D (CUGA) box motifs. Most of the members of the box C/D family function in directing site-specific 2'-O-methylation of substrate RNAs. The record is from Rfam by way of RNAcentral. Lineage: Eukaryota; Viridiplantae; Streptophyta; Magnoliopsida; Poales; Poaceae.